UAGGGAAUCUUCCACAAUGGACGCAAGUCUGAUGGAGCAACGCCGCGUGAGUGAGGAAGGGUUUCGGCUCGUAAAGCUCUGUUGUUAAAGAAGAACGUGGGUAAGAGUAACUGUUUACCCAGUGACGGUAUUUAACCAGAAAGCCACGGCUAACUACGUGCCAG
This 164-nucleotide ribosomal RNA is filed under the name uncultured bacterium. RNAcentral's name for it is "partial 16S ribosomal RNA". It matches the Rfam family "Bacterial small subunit ribosomal RNA", at positions 355 to 511 of the family's 1533-position model. The record is from RNAcentral.